RNAcentral lists this long non-coding RNA (27174 nucleotides) under Triticum aestivum (bread wheat). RNAcentral describes it as "long non-coding RNA (TAES_LNC018714)". Lineage: Eukaryota; Viridiplantae; Streptophyta; Magnoliopsida; Poales; Poaceae. The record is from RNAcentral.
GGGGCGAAGGUGUGCUGACGAGCCGGAGGAAUCAGAUUGAGAGCUUCAUAGCGAGGGGUUGGAAUCCUCUGAUUCUCUGCAUUGUACCCCGGCUGAUACUUGGUUAAGUCGGUGUCAUUCCCGAUGAUGGUGGCCACCGGGCGUACAACCUUCACACACGCCGCGAAAUCCCUCUGGUCGAAGGCUGAGCCAUCUUCCUUCAGGCUUGGGUAACCCAGGGCGAUGUCUGCCGGGUCUAGCUCCGGCAGGAAUGCUUUGGCCCGGCUCAGCGCGGCGAUUGCUCCGGCUCUCACGGAUGCUCGUCGUAGCUCCUGGAUCCGCUGCGGCAGAACUGCGAGCCGGCGCAGGACUUCGGCCAGAUGAGUUGGCACCUCGUUGGAUAGGGCCACCACAGCUAAGGCACGUUGUGACCCGGUGUAGAGCUGUUCCACCAGGGUGUACACGGCCUUUAACUUGGUGACCACGCUCUGGUUAAGGUUGGCGCUUCUGGGACCUAUUUAGCAACAUCAGAUAAGCCGGUGACAAAGAUGAAUCAGGAGAUGUAAACAUGGAUGAAAGCCGGUGAGGAGACUUACCGAAGAUGGCGGCUACCAUUUGGGAAACCUGGCGCUUUAGGCCGGAGAGCUCGGCGGUUUUCUCAGAAAGCGCCUUCUCCGCCUGUUCCGCCCGGGUCACCAGUGCGGCCUUCUCCUCAGCCCAGGCCUUCCGCUCAGCAUCAAAUUCGGUCUUCAGCUUCUCUUGAGCGGCGAUGCUGGAGACAAACUUGGCGUUUGCCUUCCGGGUCUCCAUCUCCUGUGUCUUCAGCCGGCUCUUGAGAUCCGCAAGGUCCGAUUCUAAUUUCUUGCCAACAGCCUGCAUAUAUUUCCGGGUUAUUAACAGUUAUUAUAUAAGUCCCAAGCGCUUUCCAAGCAAAGACACUUGGCACUUGGGGGCUAAUGCAUAUUGAACGUAUCUAUCUACGUACUGCCGGCUCAGUUGAGUAAGCCGGGACCUAAGUCUACAACAUAUUCAAGUAUAAGUCGUCGACUUGGGGGCUAGCAUGACAAAGGUCACUAUGCAGUAAGUAAGAAGACAGCAGAAGGAUACCUCAGAUUUUUGUUGGAUCUGAUUGACCAUGGCGAUCUUGGCGUCCCGGCUCUUGUGAACUUGGCUGAUGUAGCCAGAGACGAGCUCUCCAAUGCUCAAGUCGGUGUAGCUGGAGAGGUCCAGAUUCACCCGGUGGGGCUGCAGCAACUCCCCCUUCGCGGAGCAUUUGGCUAGCACGGUCGGUCUCCCCGGCUCAACAUACUCCGUCCGGGUAAUUACCACGUCCGGGUCGUCAGCUGGUGGGGCUGAGCCGGAGGCCUCCGGGUUAACCGACGCUUCGGUCGUUGUCUUGGUAGUCGGGGCAGGGGCUUCAGGCGCCGUGUCCAUGGGAAUGGUGGCCUCGGGGGCGGAGGCAGCUGGCGGCUCUUGAGCCGUCGCCUCCGGCUCAGGCAAGUCUGGCACUCCGGCUGACCUGGUCUUCUUUUCUCUUUUGGUGAGCUUUGCCUGGGCACUGAAAAGGCAUAAGUGUUAGCCAUACAAAGAGUAAGUACAGACAGAUAAUGUAAGGAGAUUGUUAUUACCCGGGUGCAGUCUUGAAGGCCGGCAGACUUGACUGCAUGGAGUCACCCGAAGAGGGGGAGGUCUCCUGAUAAUUGGAGUCAGAAGAGUUGAGUGGCUGACGGAUAACACCCGCCAACGGAUGAAAGGGGUACAGGUGAGAAAAAACCUCAGUGCGACGCUUCCUAGUUGCGUCGGGUAACCCGGCGGAGAGGUCGGUGUCUUUGCGGGCCCGGGUGUGACGCCGACUUUCGUGAACCUGCUGCUUCAAAAGAAAUUGAGGGUCUUGAUGAGCUAAUGGAUGUGAAAAGCUUACUUUCCGGGUUACUCUUCGGACUUUCAGCUGUGGCAAAGGCUCCGAGUCGGAGGAAAGUGAUAUUACCUCUUCAACCACCGGGUUACUGGCGCCGGUGUCAUCCUGUCAAUGAGCAAAUGUUGAUAAGGCGGACAGCAACAAACAACAAAUAUGGCACGACUUUAAAGGUUUAAGGAUUACCUAUGACUCGGAGCUGUCGCUUAAUUGCAGUAGCUCCGAAGCAGUGGGUCUGCUUCCCUUUUUGCGAGGGGCGGCUUUCUUGGCGGCUUUCUUUGCUUUCCGGGCUUUCUUGGCCGCCUCAUGUUCGUAUUUGACCCGCCAGAAUUUAUCAUCAGCCUGAGAGAUACAAUGAUUGAUUCUUAAAACGGUUCAGUUGAAGGUUAUAUGCAGACAAAGAUAAAGGUUAAAGUCAGCGGCUUACCGCUAGGGCUGGAUUGGUCUUGCAGAAGGGGGCUAGCCCGGUUCUUCCGCAGUCUGCCAAGCUCUCGUUUAGAAGAUCAUUGCGACUGUGCCUCUGCGGGUCAUCUUUUCGCCCGGUGUACUCACACAUUAAGCCGGGGCGGCGGCUCAAUGGGAUCACCCGCCAUGAGAUCCAGACCCGGACCAGGUCAAUUCCGUUCAGACCGUUGCCUAGCAGGGCCUUGAUCUUAUUGAUCGUUGGAAGCAGAGGCUGGCGUUCCGCGGCAGUCAGUUUGUCGGAUAGCGGAUGAGUCGGCUCUAGGCGCGUUGGGCGAAAGCCGGGCAGCGGGUUCUCAUCAGCCGGGGACGUAUCUUGGCAAUAGAACCAAGUCAUAUUCCAGUCCUUAGGGUGGCUCGGCGGCUCUGCGUAAGGGAACAGACAGUCCCUACGCUGCUGGAUGGAGAUGCCGCCUAAUUCCAGACUUGGCCCGUUGGCACACUCAUUUUGGCGGUUUAAAUAAAAUAGCUCUCUGAAGAGCAGCAGACUCGGCUCUUCUCCGAGAUACACUUCACAAAAGACUUGGAAGUUGCAGAUGUUGGAUACGGAGUUGGGUCCUAUAUCCUGAGGCCGAAGGUCAAAGAAGUUGAGCACGUCCCGGAAGAAUUUUGAGCCGGGCGGUGCGAAGCCCCGGCUCAUAUGGUUCGCAAAGAUCACUACCUCCCCGUCCCUCGGCUGUGGUCGUUCUUCUGACGGAUCAGGGGCACGGUAGGACAUCACUUCCUUCUUGGGCAGAUAUCCGGACUUAACGAAGUUGGCCAGGGUCUCGUCGGUGACGUUGGAUCUCAUCCAGUUGCAAGUGAUGGGAGCCUUGGGAGGCAUGGUGAAGGUUGGUGGUCUAUGAUAAAGAGAAAAGUGUCCGGGUUAAUUGUAAGCCGGAGAUUAUCAUUCAAACUAAGAUGGCGGCUUAUGAAGGGGACUAAUGAUAUAUAUUCAGAUACGGUGGGUUAUUUAAGCCGCAGGGGGAUUCAAAGUAAUUUGGUUAUCUACGGUUUAACCAGAGUUAAGCCGGAGGAUUCUACAGAGCAUAGUUCUCUUCAAACCGGAAAAGUUCUAUGGCGCAUGUUUUCUUUAAACCGGAGAUAUAAGCCGCCAAGAUUCAAGGGCUGCAGUUUUUACUAAGUGUGGUAAAACAGGUUUCACAUAUUGCAGUAACUUUUUUGGAUCAAAAUGGUCGGGUGAAAUGAAAAUUUUCUAGACCUAAAAAACAGAGGCAGGAAAAGUUCUUGAGGUUGAACACGGUUCUUAUGCAGUAAAAGGAGGGCUUCUUGCAGGUGAAAUGGAUCUCAAACAUCUACCGCAGUGGUUCUACGCAGAGUUAAGAUCAAGAGAAGGGUGGUAAAAAACAAAACUACCGCAGGCCGCAACGAACUAUGAAGAACUAGAGGAACCCUACUGUAGAUCUACUCUACGGGGUGGUGAGAACUUACCGGAGCUGAAGAGGUGCGGGAGUCGCCGCCGUUUGUCUGGUCCGGGUCAGGGUGAUGCAGCGGCCAAGGUUGACGAAGGUCGGAGGCGAGACGACGGCGGCGGAGCACGAGCUCGGGCAGAGGAGCGACGACGCGAGGAGGAAGAAAGGGAGCGUGAGAAGAGCACGUUGGGCCGGCCUAUUUAUAAGGCGAAGUCAUAACUGGGCGCGAGAUUCAAGGAGACCACGGCGUGGUUAUCUCCCCCUCAUGACGCCUCGAUUUUCGGAAAGACAGUAAAAGCAAAGAUCCGUUGCGGAUCUGGCGGAGUAAAAAACGGACUUAAUGGAGGAUGACGUCAUGGCAUAUUAUCCGGAGUCCAGAGGAUGAUGUCACUCCGGGUUAUGGCCUUCACAUGAAUGGUAAGCCGGAGAUUUUCUCUGUCGGCAGAGUUGAAGAUUGACACGAGCCGGAUCAAGUCAAUCUGGGGCCUAAUGUUGAGGAUAUAGACCUUAGAGUCACCCGCCAGGAGGGGCCGGGUUACUCUUCGGAUGGUCAUUGCCAGAAGCCCGGAGCCAAGUUUCAAGACGAUGGGCCAGAGAUGCGCUGAGACCCGGAUAUGGCUUAGGGCCUGUAGUUACAAUCAUUAUUAUAGAAGACUUGUAGUGUAAGGCAAGUAUAGUUUAGAGUCUGAGCCGGACGUUCUUAUGAGCCGGCCGGGACUCUAAGGGCUGCUGGGCGUCAGCGUCCCUAUAUAAAGGGACGACCCGAUAGCGGUUCGGGGCGACAACAAUCUGAUGGAGAGCCAGGCAUAGCUAUUUAGCUCCCUGGCGAUCGUAACCCUAAUCAAUAACACCUCAAACUGGACGUAGGCUUUUACCUUCACCGUAAGGGGCCGAACCAGUAUAAACCUUUGUGUUCCUUGUCCCGCAUAACCCCUUCAAGCUUCCUAGUUGCGAUGGCUCCACGACUAAGUCCUAGCUCGAGGACAUCUGCCGUGACAACUCCACGACACUUGGGGUCCCAUGAGAAUCAGGCCCUGAUGAAGUCGUGCUCCUGCUGGUCGGUGAACUCAGCCAAUGGGUCCGGGAUCCCCUGACGUUCACGUUCUGCGUCCUCCUUAGCCCACACGGGCCUCUUUCCCGUGUAACCACGACUUCCAAGGCGGUGGUUCCCCAUGUUCUUUGCCUGCAGCUGCUUGCCUCUCUUCGACCUGGCCUUGGCAGCUUCUUCAUUGCAUGUCUCCUUGAACUUUUCAAAGUCCUGUAUCGUAAUUUUCGGAUUGUCCGCAACAAUCUCGGCAUAGGUUUCAUGGUCUACUUGAAUCGCCUUUUUUACCCUAGUUUUCCAAGCACUCAAUGCGUUGCUGAACUUCCCUAGGUCUUUGUUGUUGAUUUUUUUCAUGGCAUCAUCAUCCCACGGGUCGAUUUCGUCAUUCCGACCGGGGAACAGGAAUCUUGCGUGCAACCUAGUUAGAAUCAGCUUCUUCAAAUGUUCAUUCUUCUGUAUUUGUGUGGUGUUGAUGUUAGCGGUAUCCCGUAGGAUGCAUGCUAGUUGGUUGCCGUAACACGCUGCCACUUCUCGCGGCUCUAUUGGCUCGAACUCGCCAGGGUGCACCGCCGUGACCACCAGUCUUUCGGUGCCGAGCUCAUUUGGGCGUCGUGUCCUCUUUUCCUUCUUUCCCUCACUGGCUUGGGAGGUCCCACCUUCCGUGCUAUAGUUAGGAACGUCAUCAGCGCCAGGCUCAGUGCCAUUGUCGUUGGUGGCAUCAGUGUCGGCGCCGGCGCCACCACACUCGUCAUCCGUCAUGACAAGGCGGUGCGGACACCCAGCUUCCUGUCUCUCCUGAUCCGCCAGAAAGUCGAGGUAGGCGUGUGCUCGACCUAAUUGGGACUGAGAACCUCUGGCCUCAUCGGUGUUGGUCAUGUUUCCUAGGGUUCAAUGUCGUAGUCGUUUAGUUAUCAAGCUUUAUAUAAUAAAGUGAAUAAUGACAAAAAAGUGACCUUUGUUUUGCCAGAAAUGUCAUUUCAUUCCCGUCGCGACAAAUCUCAAGUACUCGAUAUGUCCAACUUUCUAGCACAAGUCAUGCCGAAAUUCACGGAAAAUUUCGGCAUGACCUUUGCUAGAAAGUGCACAUAUAGAGCACCUGAAAUUUGCCGGAAUGGAAAUGAAUCAAAAUUUUCGGCAAAACAUAGGUCACUUUUUUAACAGCAAGCAUUUCAGCACUCUAACAACCAUUUUAACAGCCACAUUAUGAGCACUCUAAGAAGCUGAAACAAACAUCACAGACUUUGUUGCUGCUGACAUAUACACAAUCAUGAUCAUUGCUGCCCAACUGAUGCAAAAAAGAUCAACUACCAUAGUAAAACUGCAAGCUCAUUAACGAAUCUAACAACUCCACUCCCCAUUGCAUCAUUAUGAACACUUUAACAGCCACAUUAUGAACACUCCCCCUUGCAUCAUUAUGUGCUGACAUAUGAAGAGGGAGGGAAGAGGGGGUGGCGCACCUCGGGGUUGGGAUCAGGGUCGGGGUCGCCGGGGCNNNNNNNNNNNNNNNNNNNNNNNNNNNNNNNNNNNNNNNNNNNNNNNNNNNNNNNNNNNNNNNNNNNNNNNNNNNNNNNNNNNNNNNNNNNNNNNNNNNNNNNNNNNNNNNNNNNNNNNNNNNNNNNNNNNNNNNNNNNNNNNNNNNNNNNNNNNNNNNNNNNNNNNNNNNNNNNNNNNNNNNNNNNNNNNNNNNNNNNNNNNNNNNNNNNNNNNNNNNNNNNNNNNNNNNNNNNNNNNNNNNNNNNNNNNNNNNNNNNNNNNNNNNNNNNNNNNNNNNNNNNNNNNNNNNNNNNNNNNNNNNNNNNNNNNNNNNNNNNNNNNNNNNNNNNNNNNNNNNNNNNNNNNNNNNNNNNNNNNNNNNNNNNNNNNNNNNNNNNNNNNNNNNNNNNNNNNNNNNNNNNNNNNNNNNNNNNNNNNNNNNNNNNNNNNNNNNNNNNNNNNNNNNNNNNNNNNNNNNNNNNNNNNNNNNNNNNNNNNNNNNNNNNNNNNNNNNNNNNNNNNNNNNNNNNNNNNNNNNNNNNNNNNNNNNNNNNNNNNNNNNNNNNNNNNNNNNNNNNNNNNNNNNNNNNNNNNNNNNNNNNNNNNNNNNNNNNNNNNNNNNNNNNNNNNNNNNNNNNNNNAGCGGGAGGGGGUUAGAGAGAGAGAGAGAGCCAGGGCUGAGGGGUCGGAGAGAAAGGAAGAGGGGGCGGGGGGCCAUACCGGAGCGGGAGGGGGUCGGUGGCCAACGUCAAGGUCGGGGCUGAGGUUGAGUUCGACAUCGGCUGCGGCGUGGGUGGUGAGGCGUGGGCGGCGGCGUGGGCGGGGCGGCGUCGGCGGCAGCGUGGGAGGGGCAGUGUCGGCGGCGGCGUGGGCGGUGCGGCGUCGGCGGUGGCAUCAGAGAAAAGGGGAUCGACGAGCGGCGCGAGUGAGAGAUAGGAAAGAGGGGAGCUAGCAGACCGGUGCUGUAGGCAAGUUAGCUAUAGCGCGUGUGGGCAAAACAGCUAGACACACACAAACUUUGGAUAAUAAUUAGUAUAAUAUCCAAAAUAGCUAAACACACACAAACUUUGGGGAUUAGUUUGUCAGCUUGGGCGACGACGACGCUUCAGACGGAUCUUCUUCCCUCUUUUGUUCGUUGUCGAGUAAUUGAGCCCAUGGUCGUGACAUUUCCUUCUCCAGGGAUUACGAUCUUUCGUAGGUAAUGUAGUCUUCAUUCUUCUUUUGACAUAUGUUUCGUCGUCAUCAGCAUCAUCUUCCAUCAUCGGAUCACCGUACUGGUCAUAGUCUUCCUCGUUGGCGACUCCAUCCAUUCCGGUGAUGCUCCUUUUGCUUCUCCUCACGACAACACGGCUGGGAUUGAUCAGAUCAGUUAUGAAGAAACAUUGUGUCACGUGUUUAGCGUGUACCCAUGGCUCAUUUUUGCCGAUGGCGUUGACGGUACCGCUAUCGGAGUCGGGUAUACACAUGGUAGUGAAAUGUCAGUUUUCUCUGUGUACAUUCUUAGCCAACUAACACGGAACAUCGUCGCGCUAUGCAAUCUAGAGUAGUUAAGCUCCCAUAUCUCUUUGACCCUUCCGUAAUAUCUUUCUAUUACAUUCCCGGUCAUGGCUUCCAUCGUCACCCCUGAGUUUUGGUCAUCACUGUUUAUAUCUUUCUCCUCCAUGUAGAACGUGUAUCUGUUGAUAUCGUAUGCUUGAUAAGUCGCGAGGUUGGUCGAGGGGCCAUGUGCUAAGGCAUAUAUGAGUUUUCCGUUCGGACAACCCUCUUCUGGGGGAUUAGCCAGAACUUGCUCUUUGAACCAUCACACGAAAGUGGAGGUGUGCUCUCUAAUAACUUCAGCGUCCGUCCUGUGCACCCCACGGUCACGGUACUUGUUUGUGAUGGUCUCUUUGUGCAGUCUCACGAAAUCUUCUAGCACAUCUAGGUGUUGUAGCACUACUAAGUUUGCCCUAUCAAGGUCGUUUUGUCGGCCCGAGCGUAACACAUUCACAUCCCUAUGACCGUUGGUGUGACCUGCGCCUUCGAGCCUUCCACAGUGCUUGUUGAUGGGCAAACCAACAACAGGGUCUUUGGUCAGAUAACUCUCACAGAAAGAGAUGCACUCUUUGGUCAGAUAUCCCUGGGCUAUGCUUCCAUCUGGACGGGGCAUGUUACGAACGAAUCCUUUGAUGACCCCAUUCAUCCUCUCGAACGGCAUCAUGCUAUGUAGGAAUGUCGGCCCUAGGUCGAUGAUGUCGUCCAUGAUGUGGACACAUGGAUGCACCAUGACAUCAAAGAACGCGGACGGGAAGUACAUCUCUAGCUCAUUCAGUAUGACAACGAUAUCUUUCUGUAGCCUAUGGAGUUGCUUCACACUGAUCGACUUUCGAGAGAUAGCAUCAAAAAAGUGGCAUAGGUCAGUAAGCGUCUCACGCACAUGUGUGUCCAUAAUCCCUCUAAGUGCAACCGGGAGUAACUGCGUCAUCAUCACAUGACAGUCGUGAGACUUCAUCCCACUGAACCUUUUUUUCUUAGUGUCCAGAUAUCUGCUUAUCUUCCCACAGUAUCCGGAACUAACUUUGAUUCCGGCAAGGCACUUGAACAAUUGAUCGACCUCCUUCGGAUCUAAGGUGAAGCAAGAGGGGGGGGCAAUAUUGUUCUUCCUUGUUGUUUACUUUUUUGCCCCUAUCUUCUGUCUUCGUGUCUGUCUCGGUCUCCUCUGACGACCUUUUACCGGGCAUUUGGAGAUCUUUCCUGAUUUUCUAAAAUUCCAAGUCUUUUCUUGCCUUCGGCCCAUCCUUGGUCCUCUCCGGCAUGUUCAUCAAUGUUCCAACCAAGCUCUCAAGGAUAUUUUUUGUGAUAUGCAUUUGAUCAAGGCUAUGAGGCGUGUCGAGUAUGGGCCAGUAUUCAAAGUCCCAUAAAAUAGAUCUCGUCUUCCAUACCUUCAGUAGGGGCUCCGACGCCUUUUUCUUUGUCUUUCCCGGUGAGGGGCACUCUUCCCAGUUCUUCAAUAACUCAUAUAUUUCUGCACCGCUACGCUUACGUGGAGGACCUCGAUGCUUAGCCUUACUAUUGAAUAGAUCUCCACUCUUCCUCCAUGGGUCAUCCUUCUCGAGCCAUCUUCGAUGCCCCAUGUACACGAUUUUCAAAGACCCGCCAUCUUUCGAUAGCUGCAGAGAAGUUGUAUCAUCCAUGCACCUCGUGCAUCCGCAAUAUCCGUGGCACACCUGGCCGGAGAGAUAGCCGUAACCGAGAUAAUCCUGCACCAUCGUGAUCAGCGCGGCUCUCAUGUAGAAAUACUCUCCUUUGCUUGCAUCCCAUGCCUUGGCCGACGUUAUCCAUAAGGUCUGUAACUCCUCUUUCAGUAACCUGAGAUACAGAUUUAUAUCAUUUCCCGGUUGUCUCGGCCCUUGAAUAAGCAUAGCCAUGUGUAUGUAUUUUUCCUUCAUGCACAACCAGGGGGGAGGUUGUACAUCCAUACAAACACGGGCCAUGUGCUAUGAUUGGUGUUCUGGUUGCCAAAUGGAUUCAUGCCAUCACUACUAGCGCCAAGCACGAUGUUCCUUGGAUCAUUUGCGAAAAAUUCAAAUUCAGCAUUUAAUGCUCUCCACUGGCUAGCAUCUGCGAGGUGUCUCAGCUUCGGCUCAUCUCCGUCAUCUGGCUUCACCCAAUCCGCGUGCUAGCGCAUAAGCUUUGCUUCCUUAGGAUCUACGAAAUACCGCUGUAGACGCGGAGUGAUCGGAAAGUACCAUACAACUUUCCGUGGAGCUUUCUUUCCGGUCUUCUUAUAUCGUGAAGCAUUGCACUUUGGACAGAUGAUUUUUUCCGCGUGCUCGUUCCGAUAUAUGAUGCAAUCAUUGAUGCAGGUGUGAUAUCUAAUAUGUGGCAGAUCAAGAGGGCACACGAUUUUCUUUGCCUCCUCGACACUAGUAGGACACAGGCUUCCCGCGGGAAGAACCUUCUUUAGGUACUUCAGAAGCUAAUCCAGGCUUGUAUCUGUCCAUUUGUUUUUUUCCUUCAUCUUUAGAAGUUCUAGUGUGAAACUCAAGAGGGUCACCUCGGGAUUGCAACCAUCAUACAAAGGAGUCAUCGAGUCUACCUCCACUUGCGCCAGUUUGGCGUCCUCUCUAGAAGCAGCUCUGUCGCUUGUCGUCUUCUUGCGAAGCAGGUCUCGUACUAAACUUAGUAGCGACGAAGAUGGCGGCGUGUCCGCGUCUUCUCCGCCUUGCACUGCCUCGUCGCCAUCGACAUUUCCGAGGCCGUCUUCCUCUUCGGGCACAUAAUCGGUCAUCUCUUCGUCUGGUGGCCCCAUGUCGUUAUUUCCUGCCCCGUCGAUGUCCUCCUCCUCCUCCUCAUCACCAUCUUCACUUAUCCACCGAGUAUGGCCAUGCAUGAAACCAUGCAUGAGCAGGUGCGCCUUGAAUUUACCACCCUGAAAGGGGUCGAGCCUGACUUUUCCUUUGCAUUUUCGACACGGACAUAAAACAUCCUUCAGUCUUUUUUCAUAUAUGUCAACCACAGCGGAUUGCCAAUAUCUUUCCACCUUCCUUCCAUUGACCUUCAUGAUCACCUACGCGCGAAGCAAAUAUUUUAAACACGUAUAUAUGCAUGCAUGGAUCAAAUUCAUAAAAAAAUUCGGCAUGACCUUCCCUAAACAUAGGACAUAUUGAGUUUGCAUGCCCGAAAUUCGCCGAAACGGAAUUGAAUCGACAUUUCGGCAAAACAUAGGCAACUCAUGUCACUCACAUACCACACACAAGUCGGUAUAUUCAUAUCGCACAUAGUUUCGAUCCUAAUCGCAAACACACAUAUUUCCAUUCUUGCACAACUCUUUUUUUGCUCACCUAUUUGUGGAGAGGAAUAUCGAGCACCUUCUUAUAAUUAGCUAGUAGCUCUAGAUAGAGCUAUGAGAGGGAGGAGGGAGGGCAUUAAUGGAGGGGGUGGUGGAGGGGCAAAGAAGAGAAGGGGAGAAGGGGCAAAAGAAAGGAAGAGGNNNNNNNNNNNNNNNNNNNNNNNNNNNNNNNNNNNNNNNNNNNNNNNNNNNNNNNNNNNNNNNNNNNNNNNNNNNNNNNNNNNNNNNNNNNNNNNNNNNNNNNNNNNNNNNNNNNNNNNNNNNNNNNNNNNNNNNNNNNNNNNNNNNNNNNNNNNNNNNNNNNNNNNNNNNNNNNNNNNNNNNNNNNNNNNNNNNNNNNNNNNNNNNNNNNNNNNNNNNNNNNNNNNNNNNNNNNNNNNNNNNNNNNNNNNNNNNNNNNNNNNNNNNNNNNNNNNNNNNNNNNNNNNNNNNNNNNNNNNNNNNNNNNNNNNNNNNNNNNNNNNNNNNNNNNNNNNNNNNNNNNNNNNNNNNNNNNNNNNNNNNNNNNNNNNNNNNNNNNNNNNNNNNNNAAGAAGAGGGGGAAGCAUUGAAGGACAAGCAAGUGCAAGAGGGGGGGAGAACGAAAGGGGGAGGAAGAAGAGGGGGGAAGGUGGCAGAUAUUUUGGCUGGCGACCAUAGCAGUAGCGCUGGGCACCAAAGGGCGCUACUGCUAUGUGUGCCAGCCAAAAUAUCUACCGGUACAUAAAACUAGCUAUAGCGCUUGCCCAAAAAACACGCUACUAGUAAAAGAUUACACAUAGAAGAAGUAGCAUUAGCGCUUCUUAGUGGCACCGCGCUAUUGCUAUUUUCCUAACAGUAGCACUUGUUAGGGUACCAACGCUGCUACUAUUUUUUGGCCGAGGGGUGUGGUGUGGCUAACUUACCAGUAGCGUGUCCUCUACAAACCAACGCUGCUGCUAAGUUCUACCAGUAGCGCGGUUUGUAACACACGCUACUGCUAAUUAUCAGUAGCGUGGGCUCCAAAACACACUCUACUGGUAAACUUCUAUGUAUAAGCCUUUUCCUAGUAGUGUAUUAUUGUUGUCAUUACCCUUGAGGUAAAAGGUUGGGAGGCGAAACUAUAAGCCCCUAUCUUUCUCUGUGUCCGAUUAAAACUCCAUAACCACAAGUAUUGCGUGAGUGUUAGCAAUUGUGAAAGACUAAAUGAUAGUUGAGUAUGUGGACUUGCUGAAAAGCUCUUACAUAGACUCUUUCCGCUGUUAUGAUAAAUUGCAGUUGCUUCAAUGUCUGGGAUUAUAGUUUGUUAGUUCUCAAUGAAGUUUCUGAUUCAUACUUGACAUUGUGAAUAGAUUGUUCCUUUAGCAUAAGAAAUAACAUGAAAAUAUCCAUAUAUGUUGCUGUUAUAAGAAUGAUCCUAAUUCCCUCAUGUCCGUAUCUCAUUUUAUCGACACCUCUACCUCUAAACAUGUGGACAUAUUUAUUGUUAUCGGCUUCCACUUGAGGACAAGUGAGGUCUAAGCUUGGGGGAGUUGAUACGUCUAUUUUGCAUCAUGCUCUUAUAUUGAUAUUUAUUGCAUUAUGGGCUGUUAUUACACAUUAUGUCACAAUACUUAUGCCUAUUCUCUCUUAUUUUAUAAGGUUUACAUGAAGAGGGAGAAUGCCGGCAGCUUGAAUUCUGGGCUGGAAAAGGAGCAAAUAUUAGAGACCUAUUCUGCACAACUCCAAAAGUCCUGAAACUCCACGGAAGUUAAUUUUGGAAAUAAUAAAAAAUACUGGACGAAGAAAUUACCAGAGGGGGGCCACACCCUGACCACGAGUGUGGGGGCGCGCCCUACCCCCCUGGGUGUGCCCCCUGCCUCGUGGGCCCCCUGGUGGCCCUCCGGUGCCCAUCUUCUACUAUAUGAAGUGUUUCGUCCGAGUAAAAAUAAUAAGGAAGCUUUCGGGAAGAAACUCCGCCGCCAUGAGGCGAAACCUUGGCGGAACCAAUCUAGGGCUCCGGCGGAGCUGUUCUGCCGGGGAAACUUCCCUCCGGGACGGGGAAAUCAUCGCCAUCGUCAUCACCAAUGCUCCUCUCAUCGGGAGGGGGCCAAUCUCCGUCAACAUCUUCACCAGCACCAUCUCCUCUCAAACCCUAGUUCGUCUCUUGUAUCCAAUCUUUGUCCCAAAGCGUCAGAUUGGUACCUGUGGGUUGCUAGUAGUGUUGAUUACUCCUUGUAGUUGAUGCUAGUUGGUUUAUUUGGUGGAAGAUCAUAUGUUCAGAUCCAUUAUGCACAUUAAUACCCCUCUGAUUAUGAACAUGAAUAUGAUUUGUGAGUAGUUACGUUUGUUCCUGAGGACAUGGGAGAAGUCUUGCUAUAAGUAGUCAUGUGAAUUUGGUAUUUGUUCGAUAUUUUGAUGAGAUGUAUGUUGUCUCUCCUCUAGUCGUGUUAUGUGAACGUCGACUACAUGACACAUCACCAUUGUUUGGGCCUAGAGGAAGGCAUUGGGAAGUAAUAAGUAGAUGAUGGGUUGCUAGAGUGACAGAAGCUUAAACCCUAGUUUAUGCGUUGCUUCGUAAGGGGCUGAUUUGGAUCCAUAUGUUUCAUGCUAUGGUUAGGUUUACCUUAAUACUUCUUUUGUAGUUGCGGAUGCUUGCAAUAGGAGUUAAUCAUAAGUGGAUGCUUGUCCAAGUAGUGACAGCACCCAAGCACCGUUCCACCCACAUAUCAAAUUAUCAAAGUACGGAACGCGAACCAUAUGAACGUGAUGAAAACUAGCUUGACGAUAAUUCCCAUGUGUCCUCGGGAGCGCUUUUCUCUAUAUAAGAGUUUGUCCAGGGUUGUCCUUUGCUACAAAAAGGAUUGGGCCAUCUUGCUGCACCUUGUUUACUUUCAUUACUUGUUACCCGUUACAAAUUAUCUUAUCACAAAACUAUUUGUUACCUAUAAUUUCACUGCUUGUAGAGAAUACCUUACUGAAAACCGCUUGUCAUUUCCUUCUGCUCCUCGUUGGGUUUGAUACUCUUACUUAUCGAAAGGACUACGAUAGAUCCCUUAUACUUGUGGGUCAUCACGGUCUCACCACUCGCGCCCGAAGUGGUACGAGUGGAGGCGCCUUUCCCGUUUACGCCUUCGACAUCACCCCCCUGGUUUUCUGUUUUAUUCAAAUAUUAUUCAGAAAUUUGACUAAACUUUGACUAGCCACCAUUAAUUUCUAAACCAUAAGUCCAAAUGAUUUGAUUCUUUUUGCAUUGUCUUUGUUUCAGAAAGCUCUAGCAGCACACCAAAGGGUGGAUUUCUCCUUGCUGUCUAGAAUUUCGGGUGCUAUUCAGAGAGGUUUUUGAUAAUUAUUUUUGUGGUUUUAAAUUCUUUUUAGAAGGAGAAACUUGUCUUGAAGCAAACCAAGAGGGGUGCAAUCCUCCUAUACACUAAGGCAAGCCACACCAGCAUUUGGAUGGUGUUAUUUCAAUAUCUAUGAUUUUCUACUUGAAUAUGAGUUCUUAUUUUCAUUUAAAAUUUGAGAAAUAAAUUUGGUUAAUUGCUAGUUAUGUUAUCAUGCUUGAUAUGCUUGUUUUAGUUACUGGUUGAAUGCAUGAACUUGUUUGGCUAAGUACAGCAAGAUUUUGCACUAGACAUAUUGCUAUGGAAAUUAAUGAUAGUUAUUUUAUUAAGUGAUAUUUUCAAUUAAAAGAUGAACUAAUAAAAAUAUUGCUUGAUAAUAAAAAUGAGUUAUAACCAGAGAAGUUUUGAUUCUGAGUAUUGCAAGAUAUUUAUGUUGUUAAGUUUGAUCCAUGACUAUGAGUUGUUUGCCUUGCAUGAUGAGUAGUUGCAUGAUUAUGGCAUUAUGUCAUGUUAUUGAUAAAAAGUUUUUAUCAAAGCUAAACUUGAUUAAGUUCAACUUGAAUAUGAUGUUGAUCACAUCAUGGUGCCACUGAAUCGGGUUUUUAAUUCAGUGCGACCACAUUUACCUCGUGGGAAGGUCUUGAUUCGGUCCUUUGUUGUGGCUCUCACCGGUGCCUCCCGCGAGGGAAGGUUAUGGGUGUGCAUACCCUGGCCCGGUAGGCAGACAUAACCUUGUGUGCUCGUUUUUGUUUUUAUGGUACCUUGUCCCCGUUUGGGACCGUUUUGCCACGAUGGUGGCCGUUGGUGUCUUUGGUAGACACGGGGCCACCCAAGACCUAGCCCUAAGAGGGAUUAAGUCGGAGUGGCCGGGGAGAGUGCAUAACAAAGGGAGGGUUUCGUCGGAAUGCUUUGGUCUACCCGAAUGGGAAUGCGAGGCCAGGUGUUCUGUAAUGUGGGUAAAGUGCGCUACCUCUGCACGUGUAUUUAAUCUAUCGAUAGCCGCGUCCUCGGUUAUGGGCAUAACUCGUGAGUAAGUCACACCAUGGAUCAACUUUCAUAGUAAAUCUUGCAAACUAAGAGAUUGUUGUGAUGCAUUGUUUCAUGGUGAAUCAUGAACUCUUGAGGUGUUAAUGAGUGAUUGGUUUCAGGUGUGACCCCGGUAUGGUCACUGUUUGGUUACGAGGUAACCGUCUGGUAAGUGAGUCUGUGAGACUCAAGGCACGUAUUUGUUGCAUUGCAUCUGUAGUAUUUCUUGCAUUGGAUUAAUCUGAUUAAUUAUCAUGAUAUUGUCUGUCAUCGUGCUUAUGUUUGUUGUGAGCUUGCAAGUACAUUCAAUGUACUGACCUGGCGUGUUAUCCUAGCUUUCAGGCAAGUCGGUUCACAUCGGAGCGCAUCUCGUGUCUAGGCCGUGUCCACGUCGGUGUCCCUGUGCUAUGGAGUUCCACUUCAUCGUUCUUCCACUGCCGCGUAGUUCGUGUGAUCGAGGCCCCCGUCAUGUUCAUAACUAAUAUACAUACUAUGCAGCAGCACCGGGUGUGCCGCUUGGCCUCGUAUCUCGAUGUAAUAUCAGACCUAUGUAAUGUGACACCCAAGUUUUUAUUUGGAUUUUUCAAAAAAAAAAAUUAUUUUGACUUGGGGGGGGGGAGUGAUUUAAAUUUUUUUCUUCAAGAGAAAUCUCCCUCUCAUAUAUUUUUCUCUAUGGCAAAAUUUUUAUUUGGGUUCACCCGAGAUCUGCCUUUGACCUUGGAGGUUCUUGCUUUUCUUUUGGACUCAAGACAAAAUGGUUUUCAUUUGGGAAAAUAACUUUUGUAAAACUUUUUGAAGUUUGCACUAUGGCUUUUGGAAAGUCCUUUGCCACUUUCAACUAUUCGUUCUUGCCAUGGCCCUAGUGCAAAUGAUCUCCCCUAACUCAUCCCUCACCUCUGGAUCAUGAUUUACAUCAAAUCCAGCAAGUUGAACCUCCCCAUGUAUUUAUUUCCAUUCAAAUCUCAUUCAAAUAUUUUUCUGCCUUCUAUUCUACCUCUUGGAGAUUUACUAAGGAACUCCUUCUUCUGUUUUGAUUUUUGGCCCCAAACUUCUUUCCCCUCCUAGUCCAUUGAACCCUCAACCUAGAACCAUGAAGAUCCACUGGUCUCCAGUUCAAAAAUUUCAAACUACAUCAGCUGCAAGUUUGGACCAGAUUUGCCAAAUUUGGUGAAAUUCAUUCAAAACUUUUUCCAAAAAUUCCAACUAAAUUCAUGCAGCCCCUGGGUGUUUGGAGUGAUCAUCUCACCAAGUUACAGCUCCAGAAAAAUUUAUCUCUUUACCAAAACCUAUUGUCGAACACCUGCAGUGCAUGGUCACUGUCAAGUUCAGUUAACUUCAGAGUUCAGUCAGUGCUCACUGUCGUUUUCUUCAGAGACGGGCGUCGAUCUCGCAAGUACCCUCGUGUCGCCUUGCUCCUCGUCCUCGCCCUCUCGUUCCUGCACCGCACGAGUGCCUGGCAUCUUGCGGGCGUCGGCGACGAGCAGCAGAAGGUGCGCCGCCCCAUGACCGAUGCCGGCGGCGGCUUUGCGGACGCCAGCGGGAGACACGGCGCCGCCAACUCCACCCAGCGCCGCCCAAACCACCAGAGCCCGCCGCAUGGCCGUCCACUCCCCUGAAUGCGCUGCCGCUCUCGUCGUGAACCCCAGGGCGCGGAGCGCGCUCUCUGCCGCCGUUGAGCCCGUGCGGUCACCUCACCGUGGACAGACACCAUUACGCCAAGAACAACCCCGUUCAGCUGCAAAUCGAGUCCAGUAACAUCCACUGAUGCUGCUCGACCGCUCAAACCCUCUGCCAACCCACUGCUCCGCCGUAAUCGCUCGCCGGAGAUUCUCCGUUCACGGCCACCCCGUCGAGCUGCCUAUAAAUAGGGGCCCCGAGCUUCAACUCGAGCACCCACCAGCCCUACACUUCCCCUAGAGCACGCCUAGCCACUGGAAGAGCCCCGAGGAGAUCUCCUUCCUCGACUCCGGCCGCCGCGAUCCGCCACGGGAUCCAGCCCGAUUCACCCCCGUGUGUGCUCCGCAGGCCCCAUUCUCUUGCCAGUAGCUUCUCCAUGCAUCACCCGUUCUGACCCGCGCCUCAAUUCGUACUUUGCAGCCCUCCACCGGAGUUCCCCAACCUCACCCGAACCGCCGUCCGCCGGAGAUAGUGUCGCCGUCGACGUGGUGCUCCCCGUUGGACGAGUCCACCACCCACCGACGCGGAAGAAGACACUGAAGCUCUUGGUACCCUCCGUUUCUCCUAACUCGCCGUGGUUCGACGCCGGCGUCCAUCGCCGUCUUCGGGCGCCGGCGAACUUUCAAACCUGACAUGCGGGCCCCGCGUGUCAGCCUCUGUUUUAUUUCCCCAAACCGUUUUCUGUUGGCGCCUUCGGGCAAAAUAUGUUUUCCCUUUGCGCUUGCGCAUUCCCAGCCGAAGCGUUUUCUGUUUUCUCAGUUAAAACCCUGGAACUUUUCUGUUUCAUUGCAGAAAGGUCCCUGGACAGAAACCUUUAUAACUUUUUAAUAAAAAGGUAUUUUUGGGUGAUUCUUUUUCUGUCAAUCUCCAAAAUUUGUCUAGUUUUUUAUGGGAUUUAUUUGAAAAAUAUUUGGCAAAGUUUCUGUGCAUGUGUUGGUUUUCACGUUAGUACCCCGUUUCGUGAUUGCCGUAGGUUCCGGGAGAGGGGAUGGAGCCGCGAACUUCGCCGAGCUAGACUCCGACUUCUCCGAACCAGGCAAGCAUGUUUGAACAUUUGAUAUGGCAGAUGUUUUGCAUGUUCAUGUGAAAAGUUUGUGUGUGGCAUAUGAGUGUCGGUAAAUACCUCGUUGCUUGUAAGGCAACGACUCGGUUGCUCCGAAGUUGCGAUGACCUCUGAUGAGAGGUGGCCAAAUCAUGUGGUGACAUGAAGGGCAGCAAGGUGGUACUGUUGUAGCAUGCCAGCCUUGCGUCAUCCGACUUUCUUCGACGUUAGCGUGGUUGGAGCCACGUUGUCGAUCUUUUCCCGCAUGUUCCAAAGUUGCGAUGACCUCUGAUGAGAGGUGGCCUAAUCAUGUGGUGACAUGAAGGGCAGCAAGGUGGUACUGUUGUAGCAUGCCAGCCUUGUGUCAUCUGACUUUUCCGACGUUAACAUGGUUGGAGCCGUGUUAUCGUCCCUUCCCCUUUCCGUGCUACCACAUGUCUCAUUGCCAGGAUACGGUUUAGUAAGUUGGUAACCUCUUUCCGUGUACACACCAAAACAGAGAGGCCGGGAUGAUGGUACCUUGGCCCAGGAUUAAAGCCAGUCAUUCGGUCAGGGGCAUGGGUGUUUCCGGUUGGGACCGAGAGGGGGGCACCCCCUUAUAGCGCGCGUAUAGAAAUUUGAUCCCAUGCUACGCGAGGUUGUAGCCUCCCCGACUCAGGGUUUUUCCUGAAUGUUGCCGAGGGUGAUCCCUGGCUUCGGAUGGUUAAAUUGGGUGUGUACUGGUUAGACGUGUUCCUUCCAGAACACCGUAGACGGAACUAGUCCCCGUGACUACUGAAAUCCGUUGGCUGUGGUUAAGUACAAACUCUGCAGAGUCAAUUCUUUCCAAAUCAUCGUAUCCAUGAUCAGUAACGUAGACUUUACAUCCAAAUCUAUCCGUGUGAAAAUCUUUCCCCCGGUGAACAAGCUCAAGUGGUAAAUUUAUUUUCAUUGUUAUUCCUGUGGAUGGACUAACAUUAUAUUUGUCUCGUGCUGGUGAUAAAAUUAUAUUCCCGAACUAUUGUAUUGUUGUGUUACAAUAUAAGCCCUUUAUGAGACGUCGCGCAGACGUCCGACUGUGGCGUGUACUCGUUUCUCACUUUCGAUAUAAGCCCUUUAUGUGGUGUCGCCCCGACACCCGACUGUGGCAUUAUUAUUCUGCAUUUUUCCUCUCGAGGAGUCUUUCAGACACUCGUUUGGCACCUGUAUUAUUAUUCCGCAUUUUCCUCUCGAGGAGUCUUUCAGACACUCGUUUGGCACCAGUAUUAUUAUUCCGCAUUUUCCGCUCGAGGAGUCUUUCAGACACUCGUUUGGCACCUGUAUUAUUAUUCCGCAUUUUCCUCUCGAGGAGUCUUUCAGACACUCGUUUGGCACCAGUAUUAUUAUUCCGCAUUUUCCGCUCGAGGAGUCUUUCAGACACUCGUUUGGCACCUGUAUUAUUAUUCCGCAUUUUCCUCUCGAGGAGUCUUUCAGACACUCGUUUGGCACCAGUAUUACUAUUCUGCAGUUUCCGCUCGAGGCGUCAUUCAGACCCUCGCUUGGCACCCAGUAUUUAUUAUCUCUAUGUCUGAUCGCACUGGUUAACUUAUUCAUGUGCUUCAUGUUUGCAUUUGUUAUACCUUAUGUCCGAACUGUCCUGCGAGUACUUUCAUAGUACUCACCUGGCUUGUUGAUUUGGCCAGAUGUUGACGAAGGCGACCUCUUGGAUGAAGAGUUUGAUAGCGCGUCCGACGCCUAGAGGAGUCCCAGUCAGUCCUGCGCGAUCCCGGAUAUUGGUCACUUGUAUCGUUUACGCUUCCGCCACCCGCAAUAAGUCUUCUCGAGCCUCACUCCGACGCUCGAAGAGUUGUAGUAUCCUGGAAUCAUGUCACUCGCUUCGCGAUGAUAUUUCCACCACCGUUAUUAUCGUGAGUUAGAAGUUUGCCACCCUAUCCGCUGUAUUGUUUUAUCGGCGUGCAUGUAAUAAAUUGUUGGGCAGCCUAUGCUCAACUUUGUAUUAUAUUUAGUACUCCUGGUAUUUUUCUUCUGUGACCAAUGUAUUGUCUAUCAGUGAGAAGGAAUUCUUCCUCGCUGAUCCGUAACUGGGAUUGGUUUCUCAAUAAUUAUUUUAUUGAAAAACCGGUCGUGACAAGCUUGGUAUCAGAGCCAGGCUGACUGUAGGAAGCCACUAGGUGCGAUCGCUAAUCGGUUAUUAGCGUCUUUUGUGCUUUUUCAGCAUUUUGCAAUUGUAGCUAUUUUCUGUUGAUCAUCAUAAAUUUAUGACAUGACUACUCAGAAUUUUUGCCUACUUUUGUAGAUGGCUGGCAGCAGCUGUGAGAAUCGAGUGUUCACCAACAUGCCCGAGGGGUUUGUCAAGCUCCUCGUCUCCAUCACCAAGCUCGCGAUCGGGCCAGCAGCUCGCCCGGAGUUCUCCCUCUAUCAGCACAAGCUCAGUGACGACGUGUCUAUGCACCAAGCCGUGGUGCAGUUCAGAGGAGGACGAUCUGCUGCUCGCCACUUCCGUUUUACGGGAAGAGCCAUGCCUACGGAGAGGCAUGCCAUGUAGAUGGCUGCCCGUGAGGCGAUAGCUCGCCUUCGGGACAUCCUUCCUACGAUGAAGACUCGUCGCUACCGCUACCUCCCAUGCCAUGUGCCAUACACCAGCCACUAUGCGUUCGCCUGCCAUCGGGGAGAAAGAGACGAAGCCAUCGAGAUGGUUGUGGAGUAUCUCAAGGCUCUGGAGGAGUCUUUCGACAACCUCGUAGACGAUCUUGUGGCUGCCCGCAUGGACUUAGUCCGGGGCGGUCCUGCCAGCAGGAAAGAGCUUCUCCACACGGCGCCGCCUCUGACUUUCGUCUCGUCUUCAGCCUCGUAUGCACCGGCCGUUUUGGCCACUGCUCGCCGUCUGCCUACCACUGAGGAGUUCGAUCGAGUCAUCGCUCCUACUCCAGUCAGAGCCGCACCGCCUGCCGCACGCGUUCUACCGCCAGUCGCCCCCGCACCAUCACCGCAGCGCAGCGUCGCACGCCAGGAGCCAGCUAGAGAGGAGGAGGUUGAUUCUCCUGGACCGCUGAGCCUUGCCCUCGGCAAGGGGAAGGAGAUCUUCACCAUCUCCGACUGAGAGCACCGAGUAGCCGCGUGUUAUGCCUGCUGGUAUGAUGUGUUGUUUUUAUCUGUGCGCUAGUUUGUAUUGGUGUGUUUGCUGCCUUCCGGAGUAGUACGCUAGUUUUAAUAACAUGUCAGGAUGUGUACGCACAACCUGAGUGCUGUAUCUUGUGUUUGCUUUCGCAUGUAAGAUUUGUGUUAAGCACUUCUUCUCCGUGAAAAUUAUUUGUGUUUCUUUGAAAACCUUGAAGCCUUUUUGAUUAUUGCCUUUGCAAGGGUUUUCCUGCGCUACACAGUUUUUCUCAUGGGUUUUGCAAAUGAUACCCCAGACUGGAAAAAUGUCUCGCCCUUGGACUCGCUCUAUGCCCAAUCAGCCAGAAGAGGUUUACGGAACACAGACCAGCAACAAUUUCACUCGGGGUCAGUCCAGCCAACAAGACAGCGAAGCAGCACUGUCUCAAGUAUGCCGUCUCUUCGAGCAAAGUCAGCAACAACACCAAGAGAUGAUGAACCAUGUCAUCAACAUGGGAAACCACCCUGAACACUAUCAACCACAUUCCAAGUUAUCCGAGUUGCAGAAGACUUGCCCCUCAACUUUUGCUCACACUGAUAGGCCGCUGGAAGCCGAUGAUUGGCUUCGUGAGAUUGAAAGGAAACUGAUUAUCGCUCAAUGCUCAGAUCAUGAGAAGGUGCUUUAUGCACCACACUACCUUACUGGAGCAGCCGCAGCAUGGUGGGAAAACUUCCUACACAUGCACCCCAGGGAACACAACAUCACCUGGGAAGAAUUCAAGGAAGGCUUCCGUGGGGCACACAUCCCCAGGAGCAUCCUAAAGAUCAAGAAAGAGAGUUUGAUGACCUGAAGCAAAGAGGCAUGUCCGUCACAGAAUACAACGGCCAGUUUACCCAACUGUCUCGCUAUGCCUACGACGAGCACAUGACAGAAAACAAGAAGAUGGAAAAAUUCCUGGACGGCCUGGCACCACCGCUAAGAUGCCAGCUCAUUGUACACACUUUUCCGGAUUUUAAGACACUGGUGGACAAGGCCAUUACCUUGGAAAAUGAGCGCCGUAGUCUGGAAGAUAUCCGCAAGCGGAAGAGGGACAAGACGACUCUUGCCCGCAGCAACCGAGGCAAGACUGAGGUCCCAAGGACAGACACGAGGAGAUCCACGACUACCGAGCCAAGACCCGUCGGACAGUUUCAUGCGAGAGACAAGGAGUUCACCUACCGUCCAGGGGUCACCUGCUACGCUUGUGGUCAGCAAGGGCAUUACGCUAGGCAGUGCCCGAAGCCAAGAGACACGGCACCCAAGCCGAACAAUGGUGGAAACAAUCCAGCCCCCAAGCGCAACAACUUCAAUCCCAGCAACAACCACAGGAAGGGUCACUUGAACCAUGUGACCAGGGAGGAGGCGCAGAAUGCCCCAGACAUCGUGCUCGGUACGUUCCCUGUCAACACAGUACCUGCCACGGUUUUGUUUGAUUCUGGAGCUUCCCAUUCGUUCGUUUCGAAGAGUUUUGUUUCGCAACAUGGUUUUUCGAUACUUCCCUUGGAAAAAGCCAUGAUCAUCAAGUCCCCCGGAAAUAAGCAAAUUGCUCAGGGUUACUGCCAAGGAGUGGUCAUUGAGUUCGAAGGACUACCAUUCCACGCGAAUCUCAUCGUGUUGGAAAGUAAAGGACUCGAUGUCAUUUUAGGAAUGGACUGGCUAACCACCAACAAAGGAUUCAUCGACUGUUUCAAUCGAACAGUGAUUCUCACUCACCAUCACGGCAAGACUAUAAGAGUUUCCGCUCAAGAAAGGCCACGAUCACAGAAACCAAAACUGAACAAGAUGGACAUUGCAGAAUUAAGAAAAGUGCCAUUGGUAUGCGAGUUCCCUGAUGUGUUCCCGGAAGAACUACCAGGUAUGCCACCAGAUCGAGAGAUCGAAUUCAGCAUUGAAUUAGCACCUGGCACCGCUCCCAUUUACAAGAAGCCGUAUAGAAUGGUACCCUCAGAAUUGGUGGAGUUGAAGAAGCAGAUAAAGGAAUUACUGGACAAGGGGUUUAUACGAGCCAGCUCCUCACCAUGGGGUUCGCCCGUAUUGUUCGCCAAGAAGAAGGAUGGGACACUGAGACUAUGCAUAGACUAUCGAGCCCUCAAUAUGGUCACCAUAAAAAACAAAUACCCGAUGCCACGGAUAAAUGAUUUGUUUCACCAGCUCGCACAAGCUAAAGUAUUUUCAAAGAUUGAUUUGAGAUCAGGAUACCAUCAACUGAAGGUACGAACAGAGGAUAUCCCCAAGACAGCAUUCACUUCCAGAUAUGGGUUAUACGAGUUCACAGUGAUGCCUUUUGGUCUAACAAACGCCCCCGCAUUUUUCGUCCACCUCAUGAACAAAGUGUUCAUGAAAUUCAUGGACAAAUUUGUGGUGGUAUUCAUUGACGACAUUCUGGUUUACUCAAGGACACCUGAAGAACAUGCUGAGCACCUCAAGAUUGUUUUGGGAGAAUUGAGGAAACAUCAGUUGUACGCCAAAUUUAGCAAAUGCGAAUUUUGGCUAAGACAAGUUGGUUUCUUGGGCCAUAUUUUGAACCAAGAAGGCGUGGUCGUAGACCCAGAAAAAGUCAAGGCCAUACUAGACUGGAAGCCGCCCGCGAAUGUUACAGAUGUGCGGAGUUUCCUAGGAAUGGCAGGGUAUUACAGGAGGUUUAUUGAAGGAUUCUCCACGGUGGCAAAACCUAUAACACAGUUACUCAAGAAGGACAAGAAAUUUGUAUGGACAGAAGCAUGCGAGCAGAGCUUCCAAGAACUGAAGAAAAAGUUGACAACCGCACCAGUCUUAACUGUGCCAGACUUACACAAGAGUUUUGAAGUAUAUUGUGACGCGUCCCGAAAAGGUCUCGGAUGUGUACUAAUGCAAGACGGCAAAGUUGUCGCAUAUGCCUCCAGGCAACUGCGAAAACAUGAGGAAAAUUACCCAACACAUGACUUGGAACUAGCAGCAGUCAUACAUGCGCUCAAGGAGUGGAGGCACUUUCUGUUGGGAAAUCGUUGUGAAAUAUAUACAGACCAUAAGAGCCUCAAAUAUAUUUUCACAUAGCCAGAGCUGAAUUUACGCCAACGAUGCUGGUUGGAACUGGUCAAAGACUAUGACGUCGGUAUCCACUACCACCCAGGAAAAGCAAAUGUAGUGGCCGAUGCCCUUAGUCGAAACCCCAGCCCGGACAGUAACGGUCAGCAAAACUUGAGGCCUGAGUUUCAGCGAGAGUUCACUCGGCUCAACAUGAUGUUAGUCUCUGAGGGCACCAUAUCGAACCUGGAGAUACAACCCUCCCUAGUGGAACAAAUCAAGAAGGCUCAACAGGGACAUCCCAGCAUCGAAGGCAUAAAGAAGAAAAUGAACCGUAGUAAGACUUCAGAAUUCGUCACGGACAGUGAAGGAACAUUAUGGUACCGGGACAGACUUUGCGUACCUAACAUUGAGGAACUCAAGCAACAGAUCUUGACGGAAAGCCACACCGCUCCAUAUUCGAUCCAUCCUGGAGGAACCAAAAUGUACAAGGACAUCCAGGAAAGAUUUUGGUGGCACGGUAUGAAAAGAGAUAUAGCCACAUUCGUUGCUUGUUGCGAUUCAUGUCAGCGCAUCAAGGCCGAGCACCAAAAGCCAGCAGGGCUACUCCAGCCUAACAGGAUACCGGAGUGGAAAUGGGAUGAAAUCGGGAUGGACUUCAUUGUCGGAUUACCCCGAUCACAGCAUGGAAAUGACGCCAUAUGGGUCAUCACAGACCGACUAACCAAGGUUGCUUAUUUCAUUCCCGUGAAGACUACCUACUCCACACAAAGACUGGCAAAGCUCUAUCUAUCUCGUAUAGUUUGCUUGCACGGAGUCCCAAAGACUAUAAUAUCUGACCGAGGCACCCAAUUCGUCUCCAAAUUUUGGGAUCACCUACAACAAGCUCUGGGCACGCAACUAGCUUUCAGUACAGCAUACCACCCUCAGACAGAUGGACAAACCGAGCGUGUAAACCAGAUCCUAGAGGAUAUGCUAAGAGCCUGUGUGCUCACCUAUGGAUCCAAUUGGGAAGAGAGUUUGCCGUAUGCCGAAUUUGCGUACAACAACAGUUACCAAGCCAGUUUGCAAAUGGCACCCUUUGAAGCAUUGUACGGACGGAGGUGUCGUACCCCAUUGAAUUGGUCAGAAACAAGUGACAGCCGUAUCUUCGGCCCAGAUAUGCUUAAGGAGGCCGAGGAAAAAGUUAAACAAAUCAGGGACAGACUCAAGACAGCACAGAGCCGACAAAAGAGCUACUAUGAUCAGAAGCAUCGUGAGGUCAGCUUUGAACCUGGUGAUUCCGUAUACCUCCGAGUAUCUCCUAUGAGGGGUCUGCAACGGUUCAAAAUUAAGGGGAAACUAGCCCCAAGAUUUAUUGGACCAUUUUGUGUGAAGGCACGAAGAGGCACGGUAGCCUACCAACUAGACCUGCCCAAGGAGCUGUCAGACGUCCAUGACGUAUUCCACGUCUCGCAGUUGAGGAAAUGUGUGAGUAACCCGGAGAAACAUGUACCUCAUGAAGACAUUGAUAUGCAACCAGAUCUCACCUACAGAGAAAGGCCAGUAAAGAUUUUAGAAGAGUCUGAACGGAGGACCCGUCAGAAAACGACAAGAUUUUUUAGGGUUCAGUGGAGCAACCACACUGAGGAUGAAGCCACAUGGGAAAGGGAAGAUUUCCUUCGAGCAGAGUAUCCAUAUCUAUUUGAGGAUCAGCAGAAAUCUCGAGGACGAGAUUUUUCCUAAGGGGGUAGGUGUUGUGACACCCAAGUUUUUAUUUGGAUUUUUCAAAAAAAAAAGAUUUUUUAUUUUGACUUGGGGGGGGGGGAGUGAUUUAAAAAAUUUUCUUCAAGAGAACUCUCCCUCUCAUAUAUUUUUCUCCAUGGCAAAAAUUUUAUUUGGGUUCACCCAAGAUCUGCCUUUGACCUUGGAGGUUCUUGCUUUUCUUUUGGACUCAAGACAAAAUGGUUUUCAUUUGGGAAAAUAACUUUUGUAAAACUUUUUGAAGUUUGCACUAUGGCUUUUGGAAAGUCCUUUGCCACUUUCAACUAUUCGUUCUUGCCAUGGCCCUAGUGCAAAUGAUCUCCCCUAACUCAUCCCUCACCUCUGGAUCAUGAUUUACAUCAAAUCCAGCAAGUUGAACCUCCCCAUGUAUUUAUUUCCAUUCAAAUCUCAUUCAAAUAUUUUUCUGCCUUCUAUUCUACCUCUUGGAGAUUUACAAAGGAACUCCUUCUUCUGUUUUGAUUUUUGGCCCCAAACUUCCUUCCCCUCCUAGUCCUUUGAACCCUCAACCUAGAACCAUGAAGAUCCACUGGUCUCCAGUUCAAAAAUUUCAAACUACAUCAGCUGCAAGUUUGGACCAGAUUUGCCAAAUUUGGUGAAAUUCAUUCAAAACUUUUUCCAAAAAUUCCAACUAAAUUCAUGCAGCCCCUGGGUGUUUGGAGUGAUCAUCUCACCAAGUUACAGCUCCAGAAAAAUUUAUCUCUUUACCAAAACCUACUGUCGAACACCUGCAGUGCAUGGUCACUGUCAAGUUCAGUUAACUUCAGAGUUCAGUCAGUGCUCACUGUCGUUUUCUUCAGAGACGGGCGUCGAUCUCGCCAGUACCCUCGCGCCGUUGCGCGCUAGCACAUCCGUUUUCUUGCUUGAUUUUUAUACGAUUUUCUGAGGCGAAGAUAUAGGAGGUAUGAAACAAACAUAAUGUCAGUACAUGUCAAUCACACUCAAGGAUAGAUAAUUUAGCGUUCCAUCACAACAUAAACUAAAAACAAAUGAAGAAUCUCGCUAAUAAAUAAGUAAAAACGACGCUCGUCAAGCACAGUUUGCUGCGAUCGUGCCAGCGGCAUCACCGAUUGGUUGCGCGGAUGUGGUCACAACAGGCAGUAAAAACCUUAUUAUAGCAGUUAGAGUAGUGGUUUAAUACAUGUAUGUCCA